Non-coding RNA from Pelobates cultripes (western spadefoot toad), 94 nucleotides. The record is from the annotation of a GenBank genome assembly. Lineage: Eukaryota; Metazoa; Chordata; Amphibia; Anura; Pelobatidae.
AUGGACCACCAACAGUCCAGGUUUUGUCUGUAUCUCCAUUGGAAUAAAACAGGGAAAUACAUAAAUCCUGGACUGUUGGUGAUCCAUGAAGACU